CUACGAGGUAGAUAGGUCACGGGUGGAAGUGCAGUAAUGUAUGUAGCUGAGUGAUACUAAUAGGUCGAGGGCUUAACCUU
This 80-nucleotide ribosomal RNA is filed under the name Clostridia bacterium. RNAcentral's name for it is "partial 23S ribosomal RNA". It matches the Rfam family "Bacterial large subunit ribosomal RNA", at positions 2845 to 2925 of the family's 2925-position model. The record is from RNAcentral. Lineage: Bacteria; Bacillati; Bacillota; Clostridia.